Ovis aries (sheep) is the source of this 73-nucleotide transfer RNA. It matches the Rfam family "tRNA". From Rfam's summary of the family: Transfer RNA (tRNA) molecules are approximately 80 nucleotides in length. Their secondary structure includes four short double-helical elements and three loops (D, anti-codon, and T loops). Lineage: Eukaryota; Metazoa; Chordata; Mammalia; Artiodactyla; Bovidae. The record is from Rfam.
UCCCAGGUGGUCCAGUGGUUAGGACUCUGCUCCUCCAAUGCAGGGGGCACGGGUUCCAUCCUUGGUCAGGGAA